GAUAUUAGUCAUGGCUCGCAAGAGUGAACCAGCUAACUGAAAUAAUAGAUAUAUACCUGUAUGAACUAAUAAUUUAUUAUUAGUAAGACUUUCUGUGGUGGUCAGUCCUAUUAUAAGGUAAGGGAGAAUAAUGAUGUAACCUUACUAUUAGUGUUGUCCAAAACUAGUGCCAGAAGACUCGGUAAGGCCAGGUACGCAAACGUUAAUCAUCAUAAUCAGGCGUAAAGGGUGUGUAGGCGGCUUCUUUUAGAUUAAUAAAUAAUUAAAUAUUUAUUAGGCUCGUGGAAGCUAGAAUCUUAUAGAGGAUAAACCAAAUAAUGCUUAGUCUAGGGAUGAUAUCUUAAUAAACUGAGUGGAAUACUAAAAGGUGAAAGCUUUUUAUCUAUUAAAGAUUGACGCUGAGAAACGAAGGUGGGAAUAGAAACCAGGAUUAGAUACCCAAUUAUCUCCCACUGUCAACGAUGAGUGGUGGUUAGUUAGUUCUUCAUAAUGGAACUGACAGCGAUGCUAACGCGAUAACCACUCCGCCUUGUGAGUACGGUUGCAAAACUGAAAUCGAAAAAAUUAGUCGGUCUCGAAGCA
This 582-nucleotide ribosomal RNA is filed under the name Schizophyllum amplum. RNAcentral describes it as "Auriculariopsis ampla partial small subunit ribosomal RNA". It matches the Rfam family "Bacterial small subunit ribosomal RNA", at positions 359 to 928 of the family's 1533-position model. The record is from RNAcentral. Lineage: Eukaryota; Fungi; Basidiomycota; Agaricomycetes; Agaricales; Schizophyllaceae.